UACGGGGGGGGGCAAGCGUUGUUCGGAAUUACUGGGCGUAAAGGGCUCGUAGGCGGCCAACUAAGUCAGACGUGAAAUCCCUCGGCUCAACCGGGGAACUGCAUCUGAUACUGGAUGGCUUGAGAUUGGGAGAGGGAUGCGGAAUUCCAGGUGUAGCGGUGAAAUGCGUAGAUAUCUGGAGGAACACCGGUGGCGAAGGCGGCAUCCUGGACCAACACUGACGCUGAGGAGCGAAAGCCAGGGGAGCAAACGGG
RNAcentral lists this ribosomal RNA (254 nucleotides) under uncultured bacterium. RNAcentral describes it as "partial 16S ribosomal RNA". It matches the Rfam family "Bacterial small subunit ribosomal RNA", at positions 524 to 776 of the family's 1533-position model. The record is from RNAcentral.